GGCUGAAAUUCGCCUUCAUGAAGCCGGAAUUGCUAGUAAUGGCAGGUCAGCAUACUGCCGUGAAUACGUUCCCGGGCCUUGUACACACCGCCCGUCACACCAUGAGAGUUGGGAAUACCCGAAGCCUGUGAGCUAACUUUACGAGGCAGCAGUCGAAGGUAGAAUCAAUGAUUGGGGUGAAGUCGUAACAAGGUACC
RNAcentral lists this ribosomal RNA (197 nucleotides) under uncultured bacterium. RNAcentral describes it as "partial 16S ribosomal RNA". It matches the Rfam family "Bacterial small subunit ribosomal RNA", at positions 1303 to 1500 of the family's 1533-position model. The record is from RNAcentral.